UGUGUAAAAUCAAGGAAAACAAGUGAAAAAGGUGGUGAGUCCUCCGAUAAAGGUAAGGAAAUUGCAUCCGAGGACCAGUAGUCAGAAUACUUCGAAAAUCUACACUCUAGACAUUGCUCAGGAUAGUCUAUAGAUAGCUGAUUUCAUCGAUGACCACUAUUGGAUUUGCAUCUUCCAAACUGUAGGUUCACAAUUUUUCUUACUUUUGGUUAUUUAAGGGCCCACUAGUUAUUGUAUAUUAAA
Theobroma cacao (cacao) is the source of this 243-nucleotide non-coding RNA. The record is from RefSeq and is a predicted model, not a curated record. Lineage: Eukaryota; Viridiplantae; Streptophyta; Magnoliopsida; Malvales; Malvaceae.